Cyprinus carpio (common carp) is the source of this 209-nucleotide long non-coding RNA. RefSeq lists it as uncharacterized. Lineage: Eukaryota; Metazoa; Chordata; Actinopteri; Cypriniformes; Cyprinidae. The transcript is spliced from 5 exons. The record is from RefSeq and is a predicted model, not a curated record.
AGCGCCCAACAGAUACAUCGGUCACAGAGACAGACCACCGAUUCGUUGACAGAUACAUCAGUCCCAGAGACAGUCACUGAUUCUGUGACGACGGAUACAUCAGUCCCAGAGACAGACAUGAUUCUGUGACGACAGCUUUAUCAAUUCCAGACACAGACACCGAUUCUUAUACGUUGUCAGUCACUGAGACACACACUGAUUCUGGUAAG